UUUGAGCAUUUUUUUUGACAUUGGGUCGUUUUGUUAUUAUAAAAUUCAUCAUUGUUAAUCUUUAGACGUGAAAAUCUCAACAUCAGGCGCCUCAACAUCUUAGCUGCCGAUCAAUAAAUUUGCUGGUUGAAAAAAAUGGAAACCAAAAAAAAGGACUUUAAUCGUUUGAAAAACAACCUUGAGGAUUGGAGAGAACUGUUGGUCAUGCUCCAUGACCUGCUGCAUUGGAAGCUGCCGUACAGUCCGGUAAUAAUUGCCAAUUCAGUGACCGUGUUCUACUUGCUUCUCUGGUGGCUCGACUUAACCGUUGUUACUCAGUUUGCGCUUCUGCUUCUCACCGGAGUAUUGGGCAGUUUCUUUUAUCCAACAAUUGCAAAAGUCGUCUUCAAGCCGGAAAAAUGGGCCGGGGUUCAGGAGAAACAUUUGGAUAUUGUCGUAGGCAAGAUGCUGGAACUGUCCGAGACCAUCACCGAUUAUUGGAAUUCUACAAUCUGGAACAGACACGAAAAAUCAAUGACGCCAAAAUAUUGUCAGCUUUUCAAAGCUAGCCGAAAUGGUAUAGAACGUCUAGAAAUCAGUGACGGCGAAAGCGACAAGAAUACAAGAAUUGUUACUCUAGAAAACUGUGUUAAAAUUGUGCUUGAGCAGCCUCCAGCGAACAUUAUCAAUAUUGUUACCAAAACUGGGCAAAUUCAAUUACAUUCCAUGAAUGAUGCAAUGGCCAAACAGUGGAAGGUUGCACUACAAUCAAUAGCAUUCAAAGAGAAGCAGUCUACGAGUAAUGUUUUAUCGUGCAAUGCUGUUAUAGAAGAAGAUAAUGAUCUGUACUGCUCGUCGUAUAGUGAAGGCAUUUUUACGGUGACACUAAUACCCACGGAUGCAUCGAUGAAGUGUGGACUGGAACCUAAAAUGUACACGCUCAUGUUGUCAGGGUCCGAAAUCCAGUUGAAAUGUUAUGGAGAUGAAUCAAUUAUUAUUGCCAUGUGGCCUUACAGAUAUAUAAGGAAAUAUGGAUAUCGUGACGGUAAAUUUACGUUUGAAGCUGGUCGUAAGUGUGAUACUGGUGAAGGAACUUUUAAGCUCGACAAUGCUAAUCCGCAGGACAUUUUUAGAUGCAUGUCAACAAAAAUGAAGUCAAUGAAGAAAAACAUCACUACUGAUAGUUUCAACAGUAGCAUCGACAAUAAUCUAAGCUUAGUAUUCUCAUCACUUGAACCGGGAUCAAGAAGUCCUUUGCCACCAACGCCACAAAGUUCCUUCGUCGGUGGCGAUUGCCAUAAUCCGUUCCGUGCGGUUCUUACUUCGCCGGAUAUAAGCAAUUCUUCUGCAAUCAAAAGUUCUAUUCCUAAUAAACCUCCUCGGAAAGCACCGCCAUCAGUAACAAGUCAUCAUAUAUCUGCCAAGGCAUCCACAGAACAACGAAGCCAUUCAGUACUCUCAAACAUAUCAUCAGUAUUCAUCAAAAGUCAUAAUGGUAUCGAUGACGCCAACGGGCUAAUCGAUGUCACAAAUCAUCCUGUGCCAUUACCUUGUGAAGGUAACCGUGAUUAUGAAUGUGUGGAGGACAUAACCGAUGCCUGGAAAAAACUGGGAAUUGACGAUGUUAAUCAUACUGAACAUAUAACCACAACGGAGGGAGAUGAACUGUCAGGGUUUAUAAGUGAAAGAUCUAAAUCAUCCAAAGAUCUGAAAUCAAAAUAUCAUCACGAAAGUAGUUGUGCCACUGUAGAAUCCUCAAUGCAAAAUCCGAUGGACGAAAGCUACGACACCUUGGACUUUUUCCGCACAAGCCAUAAAGUAAGCUCCGGCUAUACAACUAUUGUGCCAAUCACCACUAACAAUAAGUUAUUGGCUCAAUCGUCCAAUUCUUCGGAUGACUACGAAAUCAUUGGAGAACCUGCUGCUACUUCGACAAUGUCUCGUAACUAUAGUAGCAGCAGCACGCUCAUAGUUGAAGGUUUCGACAGUAAUGCCAAUCAAAUGUCCCUGGUGCCACCGGAUAUGUCUGUGUGUAGGAAAGCUGAUGACAGUUAUCUUGGCUACGGAAUGAUUCGCAAAUCAAGUAUACAGAACUCAUCGUCUAGCGUUUGUACCACUUCAAUGAAUCCGUUCAAAAAUGACGAGCCGGAUAAAAUUCAUCGGUUGGAUUACGCUACGCUCCAGAAAGAACAACAAACAGCUCUAAAAGAUAAAGAAAGUAUCGUAAUGAGAUUUGCGAUUGUGGAAAAAAAUCUAAUAGAUUUGAAAAGUCAACUAGAACAAGCUGAUAAGCGUGAGAAGAAAAUGCACAAGGAAUUUGAUAUGCUAAAUGACAAACUUAAAACAGUUAAAGAUGAUAAAACCCGCAUUUCUACUGCAUUGGAUGUUAAAACACAAGAACACAAGAACAGCCUCAAGGAUAUUGAAAAAUUAAAAAUAGACAUUUCUUCGCUGGAAACUAAAUGUAAAUGGAACACGGUAAAACUAAGACAGGAAAUUGAAACUAAAAAUGUGCUUGAAAAGGAGUUACAGGAGCUGAAGAACGCAGAGAUUAAUACCAAAACAGAGUCUGAAGAUUUCAGCGUGGAAAAAAUUGCAGAGCUUAAGGCUAGUCAAAUAACGCUGAAACAUGUGAAUCUUGAGCAAGCAAACAAAAUAUCUAUAAUUGAGCAAAGAUUGGAAAACACUAGUAAGGAAAUGCACGCAAUGAGAUUGCUAUUAGCAGAUUGCACGCAGGAAAAAGGCAAUUUAAACGACGAACUUCAAGAAUGUCAUCUGGAGAAUUUAAAACUACAAAAUGUUGUUGAUGCAAAUGUUCUUAAAAUAGCUGAGCUACAAUCAAAUCUAAAUGAUCUGGCAGCGCUUCGAGCACAAUUGUCAAUAGCCAACGACACAAAUAAGCAUCUUGAAGAUCAAUUAAGGGGUAUCGAAAUACAGCUUAGCGAUCAAGCAGCAGACGUCGCUAGAUUUCACCAAAGAGAAUCAGAGUUAUUGACAUUGAAUGGAGAGCUAAGCGCUUUGAACGCCACAUUGCAAAAUGAGAUUUCAUUGCAUAAGUCCAAAAGUUUAGCUAUGUCAUUAGAAAAUGAUUCUGUUAAAAAAACGCGUAUGGACUUCGAAAUUAAUAUAACAAAGCUGCAAGCGGAGUUGGACCAUGAGAGAAGAAGCAGAGCAGACGAACGAAUAAUGAUGGCACGACACUUAGCUGAAAAAUCUAAAGAUUGUGAUCAUUAUCAGCAAAGACUAGAUCAAGUAUUAGGAGAUCUAGAAGUAGUAAAGAAGAAAAAUGCAUCAAUAGUAAAGGAUCUCCAACGUGAAAUUGCUGUUUUGCAAAAAUCAUCUCUAAAGUCAGAAAAUGUGCCAGCCAAUGUGAAUACUUAUAAAGAUAUUCAAUCUAAAUCUUCCAUAGGCGAAUCCGAUGAACAGACAAUUAUGUUUGAAGAAAAGGAACCGUCUACAUCAAAACUUAUCGAAAGGAUAAUUCGGUUGCAACAUGCUAAUAAUCGACAAGCGGAAAAAAUAGACUUUUUGGAAAACCAUUCAUCGACCUUAGUUACAGAAUUGCAGAAAAAGACAAAGAUUGUUCAACAUUACAUGAUGAAAGAACAGUCAACCUCAAUGCCUUCGGGAGAUAAAAAUAAGUUGUACAACGGCAUAAUGCAUGCAAUAUACGGAAAUGUCAAAACUUCAGAUAUGAAUUUAGAACUUGUUUUGGAGAUCAAUAAGAAACUUCAAUCCGUGUUAGAAGACACUUUGCUGAAGAACAUCACGCUUAAGUCUCCACAUAUAGUUGUACGCAUAGAUGUAAACGGAAGAAAACUCCAUCAGCAUCAACUCUAAGUUUAACGCCUGCGCAAGACAGAUUUGAAGAUACGGAAGCUGUAAGAUUAAGACUGUCCAGAAACGAUAACCCAUUCAUUCAGAAGGUUCUAGCAAGUAGAGAAAGUGUGCUAGAUUAUACUGACGACACAGAGUCCGAUGAUGCUAUUUUGAUUUUAAUGACACAGGAUAACGGCAACACUUCCGAGACUUAUGACGACAAUCCACUUAGUUUAAGAGAAGGAUUGAAAGGAAAUGUGCAACCAGACACCUGAGAAUGUGGUCCAUGGAGUGAGGUUGGGUUUCUGGCACUCGACCUACUAAAACCAAAGUUUGCAUCAGUCGAUCCCUCCUGCCAUCUAUCAAGCAAUACUUCAAGGGAGCUAUUGAGCCAAUGCUCGCACUUGGUGUGCACAACAUACAGCUAAAGCAAAUUUGACCCCUAUAUCAUCACGCUCACCAACGCUGGACUAAUUGGACCAACGUUCAUCAGCAUAUGGAGUUACUGCCGGUAAUCCCCACAGACUGACGGUUCGCACUCCAACUGCAGACACCUUUUUGCCGAAAAAAGGAUAUCCCCCAUGCAAUGUGUACAACUUCCUGAAAGCCGUAACGAGGCCAACCACUGUGAGGGCACUGAAGCACACCACAGGCUCUGUUAACGAUCUAGUAUUUGUUUUACCCCCUUUCCAUUCAUCACUCCGGCACGGUUUGCAUGACAUUUUUGGAUGACAGGGUGUCUGCAAAUUAUCCGUAGAAUAAGAAAGGUUGAUAAUUAUGUUUUGGAACAAAUAAAAAACCAGAAUGCUUUGCAUGUUACACGAUAAAUAUUAUCGCUGUCCGGAACAUCUUUUGCUGGCGAGGAUAGGUUGCUAAAUGUCAAUAAAGGAAAAAUACAUACGAUUUGACAGUUAGGUACCACACAUGUUACGCAGAACAAAGGGAACCGAAGCAACAAUCUUUAUCUUGUAACUGAAAUAUCUUUUAUUAAAACUGAUAAUAAGGCUUUCUGACGUUUAUUAUCUUUCUCUUGCACGCUCGCGGAGAGAAUAGGAUUUGUUUUCAUCGAGAAACGCUUCCGAAGCGUUUCCAAAUGAAAGAAAAUCCUAUCCUUUCUGUGCACGUGCAAAAUAACGAUGAUUUAACGUCAUCAAGCUUUGAUCAGAUGUACACUGUAAACACCUUUUCCAAGUAGGGGAACCCAGGGCAAGAGGACACCUCAGGCUGUUAACCAUUCCUCCGAUUCGUUCAUCUAGGCUAGUACGCUGCUGAAAAGUACUGUGCAAAAAGAUAGGACACGGAAUGAUACGGAAUGAUUCCGCUACUGAAAUUCCGUAAGCAGCACGGGGCUGAAAAGUAGAGACAAUUUCGUAAUGCUAAUAACUAUAGACACUGUAGAUUCCAUAGACGAGCUGAGGCGAAGACGAGUGUAGCCAAACGAACUGUUAGUUAGUGUAACCAAACGAGCAUGACGUCACAAUGAAUCGACUGCUUUGAGCGUGCUUACAGCGGCACACUAGGAGUUAACUUUCUGAAAUCAGUAUGGCGAAAGGCAUCUAAUGUUCGAUUUCUCAAAAUUAAGCACUUUAAUCGAAAAAAUAUUUGGUAGGCGUAGUAGCGGAUACCAUCCCUCAUAACCGGUACCAAAUAGUUUUUCAUGAAAAGUUCCUAAUUUUGAGAAAACAAGCGUUAGAUGUCUUUCGCCAUACAAAUUUCUGGCGGUUAACUCUUGCUGGCUAUUUUGUGCAUAUACUAUAGCGCCUGGAUGUGGCUACGGCGGGUAGAAAAUCAGCCACUGCCAAUAAUUCAUUGCAAUCCAAGCAACAGAGCGAGUGA
This is an RNA transcript of Armigeres subalbatus, 5634 nucleotides long. It is a transcript of the gene named 227 kDa spindle- and centromere-associated protein-like, with no coding region annotated. NCBI's taxonomy places the organism in Eukaryota, Metazoa, Arthropoda, Insecta, Diptera, Culicidae. The record is from RefSeq and is a predicted model, not a curated record. The transcript has 16 exons.